RNAcentral lists this long non-coding RNA (741 nucleotides) under Equus caballus (horse). RNAcentral describes it as "lncRNA (ENSECAG00000059205.1)". Lineage: Eukaryota; Metazoa; Chordata; Mammalia; Perissodactyla; Equidae. The record is from RNAcentral.
GGUCUGAUUUAGGAGACUGGACAAGGAAGAUGGAUCAAGAGCUUUAUUCACAUUUGGGUUAUUUGGGAGUUGGUGUGGUGUACACCAGGGAUGGUAAAGAAUGAGGCUACAAAGCAAGAAUUUCUCCUGAGACUUUGAAAGGUCUAAGUGGCAAGUUUGGUACAGCUAUAUUAUCUAACACCAGGAUAGAGUCUGAAAUUUGAGCUGAUAAUGAAGACCUUUUACAGUUUUGAGCAGAGAAGAAAACAUGAAGCCAGGGCAUUCCUAUAUUUUAGACUGUCAACCAGUGGCUCUUUUAACAGUGGCAUGGGGGACGAGGGCUUAAAAAGGACUUUUUGAAUAGGUAAUACACACAAUAAAAUUCAAAGAACACAAAUAAGAUUUCCCCAACCCCUACUCCCUUACAUAAAGGCCACCCACUAUCAACCAUUUCUUGUGUAGUCUAUGGAUUCUAUAAACAUUUAGUGUGUAGAUACAUACAUACAUGUAUAUACACAUGCUUGUGAAUUAAAGAUGGUCACAAAUUCUUUGCCACUCUUCUUAUGGAAUAGUGGAAUCAAGUUCCCCUCUACCUGCAUCCGGAAGGGCCCUGUAACUGGCUUAGAUCCAGAGACUGCAGAAGUUAAUUAUAAGAUUUCCUUUCAUCCGCUUGGAACCAAGUUGCCAUGCUGCGAGAAUCCCAACCAAUAUGAAAAGGCCACAUUAAGAGAACCAAGGAGGGCCAGGCCAGUGGGGCAGCAG